CACGGGGCUUGUCGUUCCCUGGAGAAAGCUGAGAAAAUGCCACGCUCUCCCAGGAAAUGUACCAUGUUCCCCAUAGUGCUGCCCAUGUUGCAGCUCCUGCAAAAACUGAAAUGAACUAGAUGGCUUUGUGUUCUUGAGAGCUCCCAGUUCGCUGCCUCCUUCAUCAAGUACGGCUGGUCUGUUAUUGCAGGAAUCGAAAUGUGGAUGCCCAGGGUCCUGUAAAGGAGUUGGUGCUCCGGAAGAUGAGAGAGGUUGAGGAAUAUGUCGAUACAAACAUGGAAGAUCUGUCACAGACUUGAUUGUUCAGUUUCAUCAAGCGUCAAUAAUAAAAAUGAUCAUAUGGUUUAAUUCCUCUGGCCUAUAAAUGUGAGCUGAAGGGCA
This 381-nucleotide long non-coding RNA is filed under the name Ursus maritimus (polar bear). RNAcentral describes it as "lncRNA (ENSUMAG00000019702.1)". The record is from RNAcentral. Lineage: Eukaryota; Metazoa; Chordata; Mammalia; Carnivora; Ursidae.